GGAGAGGUGCUCGAGUGGUUGAAGAGGCACGCCUGGAAAGCGUGUAUACGCCAAAAGUGUAUCGCGGGUUCGAAUCCCCGUCUCUCCG
RNAcentral lists this transfer RNA (88 nucleotides) under Bacteroides thetaiotaomicron. RNAcentral describes it as "tRNA-Ser". It matches the Rfam family "tRNA". Rfam says of the family: Transfer RNA (tRNA) molecules are approximately 80 nucleotides in length. Their secondary structure includes four short double-helical elements and three loops (D, anti-codon, and T loops). Further hydrogen bonds mediate the characteristic L-shaped molecular structure. tRNAs have two regions of fundamental functional importance: the anti-codon, which is responsible for specific mRNA codon recognition, and the 3' end, to which the tRNAs corresponding amino acid is attached (by aminoacyl-tRNA synthetases). tRNAs cope with the degeneracy of the genetic code in two manners: having more than one tRNA (with a specific anti-codon) for a particular amino acid; and 'wobble' base-pairing, i.e. permitting non-standard base-pairing at the 3rd anti-codon position. The record is from RNAcentral. Lineage: Bacteria; Pseudomonadati; Bacteroidota; Bacteroidia; Bacteroidales; Bacteroidaceae.